RNAcentral lists this ribosomal RNA (253 nucleotides) under uncultured bacterium. RNAcentral describes it as "partial 16S ribosomal RNA". It matches the Rfam family "Bacterial small subunit ribosomal RNA", at positions 524 to 776 of the family's 1533-position model. The record is from RNAcentral.
UACGUAGGGGGCAAGCGUUGUCCGGAAUCAUUGGGCGUAAAGCGCGUGUAGGCGGCCCGGUAAGUCCGCUGUAAAAGUCGGGGGCUCAACCCUCGAAAGCCGGUGGAUACUGUCGGGCUAGAGUACGGAAGAGGCGAGUGGAAUUCCUGGUGUAGCGGUGAAAUGCGCAGAUAUCGGGAGGAACACCAAUGGCGAAGGCAGCUCGCUGGGACGUUACUGACGCUGAGACGCGAAAGCGUGGGGAGCAAACAGG